This 438-nucleotide ribosomal RNA is filed under the name uncultured bacterium. RNAcentral's name for it is "partial 16S ribosomal RNA". It matches the Rfam family "Bacterial small subunit ribosomal RNA", at positions 339 to 795 of the family's 1533-position model. The record is from RNAcentral.
CUACGGGCGGCAGCAGUGGGGAAUAUUGCACAAUGGGGGAAACCCUGAUGCAGCGAUGCCGCGUGAACGAAGAAGGCUUUCGAGUCGUAAAGUUCUGUUCUUAGGGAAGAAAAUGACGGUACCUAAGGAGAAAGCACCGGCUAAAUACGUGCCAGCAGCCGCGGUAAUAGGUAUGGUGCAAGCGUUGUCCGGAAUUACUGGGCGUAAAGAGUUCGUAGGCGGUCAAAUAAGUCAGAAGUGAAAGGCUACGGCUCAACCGUAGUAAGCUUUUGAAACUGUUUGACUUGAGUACUGGAGAGGAAAGUGGAAUUCCUAGUGUAGCGGUGAAAUGCGUAGAUAUUAGGAGGAACACCAGUGGCGAAGGCGGCUUUCUGGACAGUAACUGACGCUGAGGAACGAAAGCGUGGGGAGCAAACAGGAUUAGAUACCCGUGUAGUC